This is a non-coding RNA of Pelobates cultripes (western spadefoot toad), 208 nucleotides long. The record is from the annotation of a GenBank genome assembly. NCBI's taxonomy places the organism in Eukaryota, Metazoa, Chordata, Amphibia, Anura, Pelobatidae.
AGAUGUCACUCUCUUCUGAUGCUGAUGUGUGUGUAAUGAAGCAAUUGUAUCUGUAUUCCCAAGUAGCCAAUCCUGUAACACAGGAGUACAGUCAGGGCCAUCUUUCCUCAUGGGCACACUGGGCAGUUUCCCAGAGGGCCCCACUGGGAUGCGUCCAGGCCAGCAGGGGAGAUCCUUUGAUGUCCCCUGCCAGCCCAUGCAGAGCCGG